RNAcentral lists this ribosomal RNA (499 nucleotides) under uncultured bacterium. RNAcentral's name for it is "partial 16S ribosomal RNA". It matches the Rfam family "Bacterial small subunit ribosomal RNA", at positions 28 to 507 of the family's 1533-position model. The record is from RNAcentral.
GACGAACGCUGGCGGCGUGCUUAACACAUGCAAGUCGAACGGGCCUGUCUUCUUUUUUGGGGGUGGGUUGAGUGGCGAACGGGUGAGUAUCACGUGAGUAACCUGCCCUUCGGUCCUGGAUAACCGCUUGAAAGGGCGGCUAAUACGGGGUGGUCCGGUUGGUCCGCAUGGGCUGGUCGGGAUAGAUUCACUGUUUUUGGUGUUUCGGCGGAGGAUGGGCUCGCGGCCUAUCAGCUUGUUGGUGGGGUGAUGGCCUACCAAGGCGGUGACGGGGAGCCGGCCGGAGGGGGUGGGCGGCCAGACUGGGACUGAGGUACAGCCCAGUCUGCGGCGGGGGGCAGGAGUGGGGGGGAUUGCACACGGGGGGGAGGCCUGAUGAAGCGACGUCGGGUGAGGGAGGGAGGCCUUCGGGUUGUGAACCUCUGUGGCCGGUGGUGAAGGCCCUGUCCGUGUGGUGGGGUUGACGGUAGCCGGGGAUGAAGCGCCGGCUAACUACGUG